Molecule: non-coding RNA, 207 nt
Organism: Paramuricea clavata
Lineage: Eukaryota; Metazoa; Cnidaria; Anthozoa; Malacalcyonacea; Plexauridae
Source: the annotation of a GenBank genome assembly
CUUCUUCCCGUAUCUUACUGGCAUGAAUACCUAGACUUGAUCCUCUUCUUCAAAAUCACACACGGUUUAGUAGAAAUGUCUGCUCUUCCUGACAUUCAUGUUAUGCAAAGAACGACACGAUCAUCAUCAAGUAAUAACGCUAAAUAUCUUGUCCGCAAAUGUAAAACCAGUAUCUACCAGCAGUCGUUUUUUGUCUGAAUGUGUCGA